Podarcis lilfordi (Lilford's wall lizard) is the source of this 69-nucleotide non-coding RNA. The record is from the annotation of a GenBank genome assembly. NCBI's taxonomy places the organism in Eukaryota, Metazoa, Chordata, Lepidosauria, Squamata, Lacertidae.
GGAUAGCUCUGUUGGUAGAGCAUGAGACUCUUAAUCAAAGGGUCAUGGGUAUGAGCCCCAUGUGAGGCG